ACUGAUUCUUGCUGUUCCAGUUUGUCUGGGGAAAUAAAUUCAAGCUGUUACAACUUAAUACAUCAAUUGCCAUGGUGGAAGUAUGAAAAAACAAUGCCUGGAUAUAUAGAAGCAGGAAGAAUAUUCUCUCUUUUAUGAGAUAAGAAGUUGAAGGGUUAGUUGUGAGGCCCAAGUUAAAAUAAGCACAAAUUGAAAAUAUAAAGUGCUGUAGAAACAUGAGCCAAGGCAAUGAUGCUGGAACUCACCGUAGACCCCUGGAUGCUGUCUGCAUUGGUGCAGCGCAGCUUCCUUUCUUCACAAAAUGACUACAGAAUUCUACUAACAAGUCAUGUGGCUAUGCCUGCCGCCGAAGAGAGAACCCUGAGUCACAAGUACACAAAUGAAAUGCGAUUCUCUUUGUGGGUUGCAUCGUAUGAUUUGGAGCAAGUCUUCAGGUCUAAUAUAAAGAUCCUUCAAAUAAAUCAUCCAGCUAAGCUUCUGUGGCCCCAAACUCCUAAUUUAAAAAUGUUGAUAAAUGAAGUACCUCUUUAGUUAAUAAAUGAAGUAUCUCCUUAGUU
RNAcentral lists this non-coding RNA (557 nucleotides) under Pongo abelii (Sumatran orangutan). The record is from RNAcentral. Lineage: Eukaryota; Metazoa; Chordata; Mammalia; Primates; Hominidae.